ACUCCCACGGGAGGCAGCAGUAGGGAAUCUUCCACAAUGGGCGCAAGCCUGAUGGAGCAACACCGCGUGAGUGAAGAAGGGUUUCGGCUCGUAAAGCUCUGUUGUUAAAGAAGAACACGUAUGAGAGUAACUGUUCAUACGUUGACGGUAUUUAACCAGAAAGUCACGGCUAACUACGUGCCAGCAGCCGCGGUAAUACGUAGGUGGCAAGCGUUAUCCGGAUUUAUUGGGCGUAAAGAGAGUGCAGGCGGUUUUCUAAGUCUGAUGUGAAAGCCUUCGGCUUAACCGGAGAAGUGCAUCGGAAACUGGAUAACUUGAGUGCAGAAGAGGGUAGUGGAACUCCAUGUGUAGCGGUGGAAUGCGUAGAUAUAUGGAAGAACACCAGUGGCGAAGGCGGCUACCUGGUCUGCAACUGACGCUAAGACUCGAAAGCAUGGGUAGCGAACAGGAUUAGAUACCCUGGUAGGAUAGCG
RNAcentral lists this ribosomal RNA (473 nucleotides) under uncultured bacterium. RNAcentral describes it as "bacterial SSU rRNA". It matches the Rfam family "Bacterial small subunit ribosomal RNA", at positions 335 to 801 of the family's 1533-position model. The record is from RNAcentral.